RNAcentral lists this ribosomal RNA (262 nucleotides) under uncultured bacterium. RNAcentral describes it as "partial 16S ribosomal RNA". It matches the Rfam family "Bacterial small subunit ribosomal RNA", at positions 793 to 1055 of the family's 1533-position model. The record is from RNAcentral.
GUCCACGCCCUAAACGAUGUCUACUAGUUGUCGGGUCUUAAUUGACUUGGUAACGCAGCUAACGCGUGAAGUAGACCGCCUGGGGAGUACGGUCGCAAGAUUAAAACUCAAAGGAAUUGACGGGACCCGCACAAGCGGUGGAUGAUGUGGAUUAAUUCGAUGCAACGCGAAAACCUUACCUACCCUUGACAUGGCUGGAAUCCCUGAGAGAUCGGGGAGUGCUCGAAAGAGAACCAGUACACAGGUGCUGCAUGGCUGUCGU